Molecule: ribosomal RNA, 497 nt
Filed under: uncultured bacterium
Lineage: Bacteria
Description: partial 16S ribosomal RNA
Rfam family: Bacterial small subunit ribosomal RNA
Source: RNAcentral
GAUGAACGCUGGCGGCGUGCCUAAUACAUGCAAGUCGAGCGAACGGACGAGAAGCUUGCUUUUCUGAUGUUAGCGGCGGACGGGUGAGUAACACGUGGAUAACCUACCUAUAAGACUGGGAUAACUUCGGGAAACCGGAGCUAAUACCGGAUAAUAUUUUGAACCGCAUGGUUCAAAAGUGAAAGACGGUCUUGCUGUCACUUAUAGAUGGAUCCGCGCUGCAUUAGCUAGUUGGUAAGGUAACGGCUUACCAAGGCAACGAUGCAUAGCCGACCUGAGAGGGUGAUCGGCCACACUGGAACUGAGACACGGUCCAGACUCCUACGGGAGGCAGCAGUAGGGAAUCUUCCGCAAUGGGCGAAAGCCUGACGGAGCAACGCCGCGUGAGUGAUGAAGGUCUUCGGAUCGUAAAACCCUGCUAUUAGGGAAGAACAUAUGUGUAAGUAACUGUGCACAUCUUGACGGUACCUAAUCAGAAAGCCACGGCUAACUACGUG